CCCGGUGCUCCACUUCUCUCACUUAAUCUUCUAACUCAGCUUGCUGGAGACUGUCCACAAAACAUGAUUGUCAUGGUAGAGUCAGGUGCUCUUGAGGGCCUCUCCAAAUAUCUUUCUCUUGGACCUCAGGAUGAGCAAGAAGAAGCUGCAACAGUUCUUUUAGGCAUCUUAUUUAGCAGUGCUGAAAUUCGAAGGCAUGAGUCGGCAUUUGGCGCUGUCAGCCAACUUGUAGCAGUUCUGCGACUAGGUGGAAGAGGAGCAAGGUACAGUGCCGCCAAGGCAUUGGAUAGCCUCUUUACUGCUGAUCAUAUAAGAAAUGCAGAGUCUUCCAGACAAGCUGUUCAGCCAUUGGUAGAAAUUCUCAAUACUGGUUCAGAGAGGGAACAACAUGCUGCUAUUGCUGCACUUGUUAGGCUGUUGAGUGAUAAUAAUUCCAGACCGCCCCGGUGCUCCACUUCUCUCACUUAAUCUUCUAACUCAGCUUGCUGGAGACUGUCCACAAAACAUGAUUGUCAUGGUAGAGUCAGGUGCUCUUGAGGGCCUCUCCAAAUAUCUUUCUCUUGGACCUCAGGAUGAGCAAGAAGAAGCUGCAACAGUUCUUUUAGGCAUCUUAUUUAGCAGUGCUGAAAUUCGAAGGCAUGAGUCGGCAUUUGGCGCUGUCAGCCAACUUGUAGCAGUUCUGCGACUAGG
Molecule: long non-coding RNA, 690 nt
Filed under: Brassica napus (rape)
Lineage: Eukaryota; Viridiplantae; Streptophyta; Magnoliopsida; Brassicales; Brassicaceae
Description: long non-coding RNA (BNAP_LNC004920)
Source: RNAcentral